UACGUAGGGGGCAAGCGUUGUCCGGAAUCAUUGGGCGUAAAGCGCGUGUAGGCGGCCCGGUAAGUCCGCUGUGAAAGUCGGGGGCUCAACCCUCGGAUGCCGGUGGAUACUGUCGGGCUAGAGUACGGGAGAGGCGAGUGGAAUUCCUGGUGUAGCGGUGAAAUGCGCAGAUAUCAGGAGGAACACCAAUUGCGAAGGCAGCUCGCUGGAACGUAACUGACGCUGAGACGCGAAAGCGUGGGGAGCAAACAGG
RNAcentral lists this ribosomal RNA (253 nucleotides) under uncultured bacterium. RNAcentral's name for it is "partial 16S ribosomal RNA". It matches the Rfam family "Bacterial small subunit ribosomal RNA", at positions 524 to 776 of the family's 1533-position model. The record is from RNAcentral.